Molecule: ribosomal RNA, 730 nt
Filed under: Sabatieria mortenseni
Lineage: Eukaryota; Metazoa; Nematoda; Chromadorea; Araeolaimida; Comesomatidae
Description: eukaryotic LSU rRNA
Rfam family: Eukaryotic large subunit ribosomal RNA
Source: RNAcentral
CAAAGAACUUUGAAGAGAGAGUUCAAGAGGGCGUGAAACCGUUUAGAAGGAAACGGAUAGAGCCAAUGACGGUUGAUGGGAUUCAGUUUGUUGGCUAGGACUUGGAUGCACUUGUUGACAGUUAGCAGCAGUGUGCUUGAGCUCCAUGCCAAUGAAUGCAUUUCCUGUUGACGCGCGUUGAGGGCUGUGGAAGUGCAAAAUAAAACCCAAGUUGCCGGCCCUGUUCAUGGGGUGUCCCUCUUGGGCGUAGGUUUGUCACAGCCACAGUCACAAAGAUGUCCGCUCUGCUCGGUAGUCUAGCUACUUGGUCGAAUGAAUCUGGGCAGUUUGCUUGCACGCUGUCCUAACCCUCGAUCAGGCUAUGUGUGUCCAUCCGAGUGACAUCGACCUCAGUGUAAAAGUUGGCUACCUAUCCGACCCGUCUUGAAACACGGACCAAGGAGUCUAACAUGUGUGCGAGUCACUGGGCGGCAAACCCAGAGGCGGAAUGAAAGUGAAGAUCGGCUUGACCGAUUGAUACGGGAUCUCUCUGUGAGAGUGCACUGUAGCCCCGUCUGGACUGCUUGUCAGUAGGGCGGAGGAAGAGCAUACACGUUGGGACCCGAAAGAUGGUGAACUAUGCCUGAGCAGGACGAAGCCAGAGGAAACUCUGGUGGAGGUCCGAAGCGGUUCUGACGUGCAAAUCGAUCGUCAGACUUGGGUAUAGGGGCGAAAGACUAAUCGAACCAUC